CCAGACUCCUACGGGAGGCAGCAGUGAGGAAUAUUGGUCAAUGGACUUACGCCUGAACCAGCCAAGUCGCGUGAGGGAAGACUGCCCUAUGGGUUGUAAACCUCUUUUGUCAGGGAGCAAUUGGCGCUACGUGUAGCGUUAUCGAGAGUACCUGAAGAAAAAGCAUCGGCUAACUCCGUGCCAGCAGCCGCGGUAAUACGGAGGAUGCGAGCGUUAUCCGGAUUUAUUGGGUUUAAAGGGUGCGCAGGCGGAUUUUUAAGUCAGCGGUCAAAUCGUGGGGCUCAACCCCAUCCAGCCGUUGAAACUGCAUCCCUUGAGUGCGCGAGAAGUAUGCGGAAUGCGUGGUGUAGCGGUGAAAUGCAUAGAUAUCACGCAGAAUUCCGAUUGCGAAGGCAGCAUACCGGCGCGCAACUGACGCUCAUGCACGAAAGCGUGGGUAUCGAACAGGAUUAGAUACCCGAGUAU
This 465-nucleotide ribosomal RNA is filed under the name uncultured bacterium. RNAcentral's name for it is "bacterial SSU rRNA". It matches the Rfam family "Bacterial small subunit ribosomal RNA", at positions 331 to 793 of the family's 1533-position model. The record is from RNAcentral.